Molecule: ribosomal RNA, 745 nt
Filed under: uncultured bacterium
Lineage: Bacteria
Description: bacterial SSU rRNA
Rfam family: Bacterial small subunit ribosomal RNA
Source: RNAcentral
ACGCUGGCGGCAGGCCUAACACAUGCAAGUCGAGCGGUAGAGAGAAGCUUGCUUCUCUUGAGAGCGGCGGACGGGUGAGUAAUGCCUAGGAAUCUGCCUGGUAGUGGGGGAUAACGUUCGGAAACGGACGCUAAUACCGCAUACGUCCUACGGGAGAAAGCAGGGGACCUUCGGGCCUUGCGCUAUCAGAUGAGCCUAGGUCGGAUUAGCUAGUUGGUGAGGUAAUGGCUCACCAAGGCGACGAUCCGUAACUGGUCUGAGAGGAUGAUCAGUCACACUGGAACUGAGACACGGUCCAGACUCCUACGGGAGGCAGCAGUGGGGAAUAUUGGACAAUGGGCGAAAGCCUGAUCCAGCCAUGCCGCGUGUGUGAAGAAGGUCUUCGGAUUGUAAAGCACUUUAAGUUGGGAGGAAGGGCAUUAGCCUAAUACGUUAGUGUUUUGACGUUACCGACAGAAUAAGCACCGGCUAACUCUGUGCCAGCAGCCGCGGUAAUACAGAGGGUGCAAGCGUUAAUCGGAAUUACUGGGCGUAAAGCGCGCGUAGGUGGUUUGUUAAGUUGGAUGUGAAAUCCCCGGGCUCAACCUGGGAACUCCAUUCAAAACUGACUGACUAGAGUAUGGUAGAGGGUGGUGGAAUUUCCUGUGUAGCGGUGAAAUGCGUAGAUAUAGGGAGGAACACCAGUGGCGAAGGCGACCACCUGGACUAAUACUGACACUGAGGUGCGAAAGCGUGGGGAGCAAAC